This 780-nucleotide ribosomal RNA is filed under the name uncultured Flavisolibacter sp. RNAcentral's name for it is "bacterial SSU rRNA". It matches the Rfam family "Bacterial small subunit ribosomal RNA", at positions 8 to 796 of the family's 1533-position model. The record is from RNAcentral. Lineage: Bacteria; Pseudomonadati; Bacteroidota; Chitinophagia; Chitinophagales; Chitinophagaceae.
AGAGUUUGAUCAUGGCUCAGGGUGAACGCUGGCGGCGUGCUUAAGACAUGCAAGUCGAACGGACUUCCUUCGGGGAGUCAGUGGCGCACGGGUGAGUAACACGUAACUGACCUGCCCCAAAGUUGCGAAUAACCCUCCGAAAGGAGGGCUAAGACGCAAUGUGCUGUCCCCUCGUGUGGGGCCAGUAAAGGCUGUGACCGCUUUGGGAUGGGGUUGCGUUCCAUCAGCUUGUUGGUGAGGUAAAGGCUCACCAAGGCGACGACGGAUAGCCGGCCUGAGAGGGUGGCCGGCCACAGGGGCACUGAGACACGGGCCCGACUCCUACGGGAGGCAGCAGUAAGGAAUAUUGGUCAAUGGACGCAAGUCUGAACCAGCCAUGCCGCGUGAAGGAUGAAGGUCCUCUGGAUUGUAAACUUCUUUUAUCUGGGACGAAACCCCUGUUUCUACAGGGACUGACGGUACCAGAGGAAUAAGCACCGGCUAACUCCGUGCCAGCAGCCGCGGUAAUACGGAGGGUGCAAGCGUUAUCCGGAUUCACUGGGUUUAAAGGGUGCGUAGGAGGGCAGGGAAGUCAGUGGUGAAAUCUCCGGGCUUAACUCGGAAACUGCCGUUGAUACUCUCUGUCUUGAAUACCGUGGAGGUGAGCGGAAUAUGUCAUGUAGCGGUGAAAUGCUUAGAUAUGACAUAGAACACCAAUUGCGAAGGCAGCUCGCUACACGAAUAUUGACUCUGAGGCACGAAAGCGUGGGGAUCAAACAGGAUUAGAUACCCCCGUAGUCC